AUAUAAAUCCUCUGGGACCUUGUUAGAAAGAAGUAAGUCUGGGGUGGGGACUGAGAGUCUGCAUUUCUGAUCAGUUUCCAGAGGAUGCUGAG
Molecule: microRNA precursor, 92 nt
Filed under: Marmota monax (woodchuck)
Lineage: Eukaryota; Metazoa; Chordata; Mammalia; Rodentia; Sciuridae
Source: RNAcentral